This 217-nucleotide long non-coding RNA is filed under the name Carica papaya (papaya). Its description in RNAcentral is "long non-coding RNA (CPAP_LNC010597)". The record is from RNAcentral. Lineage: Eukaryota; Viridiplantae; Streptophyta; Magnoliopsida; Brassicales; Caricaceae.
CUUGAUGAAAAGCUGGUCAAUGAGCUCCAACAAUUUAUAUAAAGGUUCACUAGAAUUAGGAAAUGAAGUAGUAUUUGAAGAUGAUAGAGAUGCAUCAAGAAACACCCAGUGGUGGUCCUCAUCAAUAGUGACUCUAUUCACAACUUCGUUAGUGAGUGGAUAGUAGAUCUGUUAUGGCUGUCAGUCGUGUCCACCUGGUCCUUUUCAAUUAAGGUUA